AUUGCCCCAGUAACGGCGAGUGAAGCGGCAACAGCUCAAAUUUGAAAUCUGGUCCCUAGGGCCCGAGUUGUAAUUUGUAGAGGAUGCUUUUGGUGAGGCACCGCCCGAGUUCCCUGGAACGGGACGCCACAGAGGGUGAGAGCCCCGUCUGGCUGGAUGCCGAGCCUCUGUAAAGCUCCUUCGACGAGUCGAGUAGUUUGGGAAUGCUGCUCUAAAUGGGAGGUAUAUGUCUUCUAAAGCUAAAUAUUGGCCAGAGACCGAUAGCGCACAAGUAGAGUGAUCGAAAGAUGAAAAGCACUUUGAAAAGAGGGUUAAAUAGUACGUGAAAUUGUUGAAAGGGAAGCGCUCAUGACCAGACUUGGGCUUGGCGAAUCAUCCAGCGUUCUCGCUGGUGCACUUCGCCUCGUUCAGGCCAGCAUCAGUUCGCUUCGGGGGAUAAAGACUUUGGGAACGUGGCUCCUCCGGGAGUGUUAUAGCCCAUUGUGUAAUACCCUGAGGUGGACUGAGGUUCGCGCAUCUGCAAGGAUGCUGGCGUAAUGGUCAUCAGCGACCCGUCUUGAAACACGGACCAAGGAGUCGUCCUCGUAUGCGAGUGUUCGGGUGUAAAACCCCUACGCGUAAUGAAAGUGAACGCAGGUGAGAGCUUCGGCGCAUCAUCGACCGAUCCUGAUGUUCUCGGAUGGAUUUGAGUAAGAGCAUACGGGGCCGGACCCGAAAGAAGGUGAACUAUGCCUGUAUAGGGUGAAGCCAGAGGAAACUCUGGUGGAGGCUCGCAGCGGUUCUGACGUGCAAAUCGAUCGUCAAAUAUGGGCAUGGGGGCGAAAGACUAAUCGAACCUUCUAGUAGCUGGUUUCCGCCGAAGUU
Molecule: ribosomal RNA, 864 nt
Filed under: Hypomyces albidus
Lineage: Eukaryota; Fungi; Ascomycota; Sordariomycetes; Hypocreales; Hypocreaceae
Description: LSU rRNA
Rfam family: Eukaryotic large subunit ribosomal RNA
Source: RNAcentral